RNAcentral lists this ribosomal RNA (1252 nucleotides) under Ophiocordyceps sp. BCC 28560. RNAcentral's name for it is "SSU rRNA". It matches the Rfam family "Eukaryotic small subunit ribosomal RNA", at positions 87 to 1346 of the family's 1831-position model. Lineage: Eukaryota; Fungi; Ascomycota; Sordariomycetes; Hypocreales; Ophiocordycipitaceae. The record is from RNAcentral.
CUGCGAAUGGCUCAUUAUAUAAGUUAUCGUUUAUUUGAUAGUACCUUAUUACCUGGAUAACCGUGGUAAUUCUAGAGCUAAUACAUGCUGAAAAUCCCGACUUCGGAAGGGAUGCGUUUAUUAGAUUCAAAGCCAAUGCCCCCCGGGGCUCACUGGUGAUUCAUGAUAACCUCACGAAUCGCAUGGCCUUGCGCCGGCGAUGGUUCAUUCAAAUUUCUUCCCUAUCAACUUUCGAUGUUUGGGUAGCGUCCAAACAUGGUCCCAACGGGUAACGGAGGGUUAGGGCUCGACCCCGGAGAAGGAGCCUGAGAGACGGCUACUACAUCCAAGGAAGGCAGCAGGCGCGCAAAUUACCCAAUCCCGACACGGGGAGGUAGUGACAAUAAAUACUGAUACAGGGCUCUUUUGGGUCUUGUAAUUGGAAUGAGUACAAUUUAAAUCCCUUAACGAGGAACAAUUAGAGGGCAAGUCUGGUGCCAGCAGCCGCGGUAAUUCCAGCUCUAAUAGCGUAUAUUAAAGUUGUUGUGGUUAAAAAGCUCGUAGUUGAACCUGGGGCCUGGCCGGCCGGUCCGCCUCACCGCGUGCACUGGCCCGGCCGGCCUUUUCCCCCCCCGUGGAACCCCAUGCCCUUCGCUGGGCGUGGCGGGGAUACGGGACGUUUACUUUGAAAAAAUUAGAGUGCUCCAGGCAGGCCUUUGCUCGAAUACAUUAGCAUGGAAUAAUGAAAUAGGACGCGCGGUUCUAUUUUGUUGGUUUCUGGGACCGCCGUAAUGAUUAAUAGGGACAGUCGGGGGCAUCAGUAUUCAAUUGUCAGAGGUGAAAUUCUUGGAUCUAUUGAAGACUAACUACUGCGAAAGCAUUUGCCAAGGAUGUUUUCAUUAAUCAGGAACGAAAGUUAGGGGAUCGAAGACGAUCAGAUACCGUCGUAGUCUUAACCAUAAACUAUGCCGACUAGGGAUCGGACGGUGUUACUUAUUUGACCCGUUCGGCACCUUGCGAGAAAUCAAAGUGCUUGGGCUCCAGGGGGAGUAUGGUCGCAAGGCUGAAACUUAAAGAAAUUGACGGAAGGGCACCACCAGGGGUGGAGCCUGCGGCUUAAUUUGACUCAACACGGGGAAACUCACCAGGUCCGGACACAAUGAGGAUUGACAGAUUGAGAGCUCUUUCUUGAUUUUGUGGGUGGUGGUGCAUGGCCGUUCUUAGUUGGUGGAGUGAUUUGUCUGCUUAAUUGCGAUAACGAACGAGACCUUAA